Molecule: long non-coding RNA, 270 nt
Filed under: Salvia miltiorrhiza (redroot sage)
Lineage: Eukaryota; Viridiplantae; Streptophyta; Magnoliopsida; Lamiales; Lamiaceae
Description: long non-coding RNA (SMIL_LNC013651)
Source: RNAcentral
AAAAAGAACUAUUAAACUAAAGAAAAACAAGCUAAAAGAAAGAAAGCAAUAAAAAUUGGGUUACCUCCCAAAAAGUGCUAAAAUUAACGUCUAUAGCUUGACGGUACCUCAAACUCAUGGGUCAUUGAAUUUGACAACUUCAAGACCACGAUCCACGUUCGACUUGAAGUACGGUUUGAGACGAUGACCAUUGACAGUGAAAGUAGUGCCAUCAGCAGCGAACAACUCAUACGUCCCAUUCCAAUUGCUCUUAUGCACCACAUAUGGCCC